AGAGUUUGAUCAUGGCUCAGGAUGAACGCUAGCGGCAGGCCUAACACAUGCAAGUCGGAGGGGCAGGCACGGUGUAGCAAUACACUGGUGGCGACCGGCGCACGGGUGCGUAACGCGUAUGCAACCUACCCAGUAACAGGGGGAUAACACUGAGAAAUUGGUACUAAUACCCCAUAACAUCAGGACCGGCAUCGGUUCUGGUUGAAAACUCCGGUGGUUAUGGAUGGGCAUGCGUUGUAUUAGCUU
This 246-nucleotide ribosomal RNA is filed under the name uncultured bacterium. Its description in RNAcentral is "partial 16S ribosomal RNA". It matches the Rfam family "Bacterial small subunit ribosomal RNA", at positions 8 to 247 of the family's 1533-position model. The record is from RNAcentral.